This 252-nucleotide ribosomal RNA is filed under the name uncultured bacterium. RNAcentral's name for it is "partial 16S ribosomal RNA". It matches the Rfam family "Bacterial small subunit ribosomal RNA", at positions 524 to 776 of the family's 1533-position model. The record is from RNAcentral.
UACAGAGGGGGCAAGCGUUGUUCGGAUUUACUGGGCGUAAAGCGCGCGUAGGCGGUUUUUAAGUCAGAGGUGAAAGCCCAGUGCUCAACACUGGAACUGCCUUUGAAACUGGAAAACUUGAAUCUUGGAGAGGUCAGUGGAAUUCCGAGUGUAGAGGUGAAAUUCGUAGAUAUUCGGAAGAACACCAGUGGCGAAGGCGACUGACUGGACAAGUAUUGACGCUGAGGUGCGAAAGCGUGGGGAGCAAACAGG